Molecule: ribosomal RNA, 419 nt
Filed under: bacterium enrichment culture clone ALO1_GLFRUDD03GTI6O
Lineage: Bacteria
Description: bacterial SSU rRNA
Rfam family: Bacterial small subunit ribosomal RNA
Source: RNAcentral
GAGUUUGAUCCUGGCUCAGAUUGAACGCUGGCGGCAUGCCUUACACAUGCAAGUCGAACGGCAGCACGGGAGCUUGCUCCUGGUGGCGAGUGGCGAACGGGUGAGUAAUGCAUCGGAACGUAUCCUGGAGUGGGGGAUAACGUAGCGAAAGUUACGCUAAUACCGCAUAUUCUGUGAGCAGGAAAGCGGGGGACCUUCGGGCCUCGCGCUCUUGGAGCGGCCGAUGUCGGAUUAGCUAGUUGGUGAGGUAAAGGCUCACCAAGGCGACGAUCCGUAGCAGGUCUGAGAGGAUGAUCUGCCACACUGGAACUGAGACACGGUCCAGACUCCUACGGGAGGCAGCAGUGGGGAAUUUUGGACAAUGGGGGCAACCCGUGAUCCAGCCAUGCCGCGUGAGUGAAGAAGGCCUCGGUUGUAAG